RNAcentral lists this ribosomal RNA (532 nucleotides) under Alternaria alternata. Its description in RNAcentral is "eukaryotic LSU rRNA". The stretch from base 156 to 309 matches the Rfam family "5.8S ribosomal RNA". The record is from RNAcentral. Lineage: Eukaryota; Fungi; Ascomycota; Dothideomycetes; Pleosporales; Pleosporaceae.
AAGGCGGGCUGGAACCUCUCGGGGUUACAGCCUUGCUGAAUUAUUCACCCUUGUCUUUUGCGUACUUCUUGUUUCCUUGGUGGGUUCGCCCACCACUAGGACAAACAUAAACCUUUUGUAAUUGCAAUCAGCGUCAGUAACAAAUUAAUAAUUACAACUUUCAACAACGGAUCUCUUGGUUCUGGCAUCGAUGAAGAACGCAGCGAAAUGCGAUAAGUAGUGUGAAUUGCAGAAUUCAGUGAAUCAUCGAAUCUUUGAACGCACAUUGCGCCCUUUGGUAUUCCAAAGGGCAUGCCUGUUCGAGCGUCAUUUGUACCCUCAAGCUUUGCUUGGUGUUGGGCGUCUUGUCUCUAGCUUUGCUGGAGACUCGCCUUAAAGUAAUUGGCAGCCGGCCUACUGGUUUCGGAGCGCAGCACAAGUCGCACUCUCUAUCAGCAAAGGUCUAGCAUCCAUUAAGCCUUUUUUUCAACUUUUGACCUCGGAUCAGGUAGGGAUACCCGCUGAACUUAAGCAUAUCAAUAAGGCGGAGGAA